Molecule: non-coding RNA, 852 nt
Organism: Delphinapterus leucas (beluga whale)
Lineage: Eukaryota; Metazoa; Chordata; Mammalia; Artiodactyla; Monodontidae
Source: RefSeq, a predicted model, not a curated record
GCGCAGCUGAGAGGAGUGGAGCCUCCUCAGGCGCGAGGGCGGGGGCUUCGGGUGGGACGCCAGGCUCAGCGCCUCUGCUGACAGGAGCUCGGUCUCCGUCUCCUUAGGACUCGCUGGGGUUUCGGCUUCAGGACAAAGUGGGGCUGCGUCCACGCUGACUAGGGAACAGGUUACCUGAGGACCCAGGUGAUGCCUGAGGGAAAGCCAGCAUCUGUUCUCAGGCCCAAGUGCCUCAGUUUUCCUUUGGGAAUUACAUCUCACCUGCUUCCAGUCCAAACAGUUGCAGAACGAUGACCCCAUGUUCCACCCAGCUCAAAGAUGGGUUUACAACCCACAUCUAGCCAGUCCCAUUUUCCAUCUUCUGGUGAUGGGUCAAGGAUAAGAAUGCAACCCAAGGCAGACCAAAGGCAUUUAAAACCAUGACUCUCUUGGAAUCCAAGAAAAGGAGAAACUCUUUCUCAGAAAAUGGAUGGGUCUCAGAGGACAUGGGAUCAUCAUGCGUGUUUAGUCUCUUCUGGGCUCUGACAGUUGCUCAGACUCUCCUUGUUUCCAUGACCUUGACAGCGUGGAGGAGGGCUGCUCAGUUUCUACUGCACCCCAGGUAAUCCACAGGACCCAAGAGAUGGUAGCUACUAAUAUACUCUUCCCAUGGUGCCUCUUAAUACCAUGUGGACUCCUACAAGGGAAAUAAGUAUCACAACUUUGGUUGAACGUGGUCUGGUCUCAGAUUUACCUGACGGCCACCACUCACAGCUCCCACAGAACCCAGAGAUUUCUCCUGGAAGGAAAGGUUCUGGAAAAUCAGAGGGAUAAAUAAAGGGUGCAGCUGAUUCCCGCCUUGUGCUGACGCCC